AUACGGGGGGUGCAAGCGUUAUUCGGAAUUAUUGGGCGUAAAGAGCGCGUAGGCGGUUUUUUAAGUUCAGAUGUGAAAGCCCGGGGCUCAACCUCGGAAGUGCAUUUGAUACUAUGAAACUUGAGUAUGGGAGAGGGAAGUGGAAUUCCUGGUGUAGAGGUGAAAUUCGUAGAUAUCAGGAGGAACACCGGUGGCGAAGGCGACUUCCUGGACCAAUACUGACGCUGAGGCGCGAAGGCGUGGGGAGC
Molecule: ribosomal RNA, 248 nt
Filed under: uncultured bacterium
Lineage: Bacteria
Description: partial 16S ribosomal RNA
Rfam family: Bacterial small subunit ribosomal RNA
Source: RNAcentral